AACGAACGCUGGCGGCAUGCCUAACACAUGCAAGUCGAACGAGACCUUCGGGUCUAGUGGCGCACGGGUGCGUAACGCGUGGGAACCUGCCCUUAGGUUCGGAAUAACUCCCCGAAAGGGGUGCUAAUACCGGAUAAUGUCUUCGGACCAAGGAUUUAUCGCCUUUGGAUGGGCCGGCGUUGGAUUAGCUAGUUGGUAGGGUAAAAGCCUACCAAGGCGACGUUCCAUAGCUGGUCUGAGAGGAUGAUCAGCCACACUGGGACUGAGACACGGCCCAGACUCCUACGGGAGGCAGCAGUGGGGAAUAUUGGACAAUGGGCGAAAGCCUGAUCCAGCAAUGCCGCGUGAGUGAUGAAGGCCUUAGGGUUGUAAAGCUCUUUUACCCGGGAUGAUAAUGACAGUACCGGGAGAAUAAGCUCCGGCUAACUCCGUG
This 433-nucleotide ribosomal RNA is filed under the name uncultured bacterium. RNAcentral describes it as "partial 16S ribosomal RNA". It matches the Rfam family "Bacterial small subunit ribosomal RNA", at positions 29 to 507 of the family's 1533-position model. The record is from RNAcentral.